Molecule: ribosomal RNA, 492 nt
Filed under: uncultured bacterium
Lineage: Bacteria
Description: bacterial SSU rRNA
Rfam family: Bacterial small subunit ribosomal RNA
Source: RNAcentral
GAUGAACGCUAGCUACAGGCUUAACACAUGCAAGUCGAGGGGAAACGAUAUUGGAAGCUUGCUUCCGAUAGGCGUCGACCGGCGCACGGGUGAGUAACGCGUAUCCAACCUGCCCGUCACUUGGGAAUAACCUUGCGAAAGUAAGACUAAUGCCCAAUGACAUUUAUAGAAGGCAUCUGAAAUGAAUUAAAGAUUUAUCGGUGAUGGAUGGGGAUGCGUCUGAUUAGCUUGUUGGCGGGGUAACGGCCCACCAAGGCGACGAUCAGUAGGGGUUCUGAGAGGAAGGUCCCCCACAUUGGAACUGAGACACGGUCCAAACUCCUACGGGAGGCAGCAGUGAGGAAUAUUGGUCAAUGGGCGAGAGCCUGAACCAGCCAAGUAGCGUGCAGGACGACGGCCCUAUGGGUUGUAAACUGCUUUUAUACGGGAAUAAAGUGGGCCACGCGUGGUCUUUUGCAUGUACCGUAUGAAUAAGGACCGGCUAAUUCCGUG